Cyprinus carpio carpio is the source of this 404-nucleotide long non-coding RNA. The record is from Ensembl. NCBI's taxonomy places the organism in Eukaryota, Metazoa, Chordata, Actinopteri, Cypriniformes, Cyprinidae.
ACACGUAGGAUGUCUAGAGGAUAAGGAUGGAUCCAGAGCAGCAAAUUCAAAGCCAGUGCAAGACUAAUGAUCUGGAAUCAUCUGCACAACCAAAAGGACCAGCAGAUCCAUCUUUCCUUGCCCCUUCUACACCACCGACGGCUCCAGCCAGGCCUCGGCGGCCCCAGAGGAGCCCGCGAGUGGAAGGAUCCUUUGACGUAUCGGAGCUCAAACCUCCAGAAUCUCCUGAAGAGCAGCAGCUGAGCAGCCGUGCUGAACCGACCGAGCCCAACAGCUCCAGUCAGCCCUCAGAACUCAGUGUUGAUCAUGGACCUCCACAUCCGGCUGAACAGAAGCUUUUAGGACACGCUGCAGUGUCUCGGAGCCACAUUUCAAUGAGGGCCGCCUCGCUUCCUCAGACCCCG